GGACUACUGGGGUAUCUAAUCCCGUUCGCUCCCCUAGCUUUCGUGCCUCAGCGUCAGAAGAGACCCAGUGAGCCGCUUUCGCCACUGGUGUUCCUUAGGAUAUCAACGCAUUUCACCGCUCCACCCUAAGUUCCGCUCACCUCUGUCUCCCUCAAGCACAGCAGUUUUGGGCGCAAUUCCUCGGUUAAGCCGAGGGCUUUCACACCCAACUUUCUGCGCCGCCUACGCACCCUUUAAGCCCAGUGAUUCCGAAUAACGUUCGUACGGUUCGUCUUACCGCGGCGGCUGGCAC
RNAcentral lists this ribosomal RNA (292 nucleotides) under uncultured Planctomycetota bacterium. RNAcentral's name for it is "uncultured planctomycete partial 16S ribosomal RNA". Lineage: Bacteria; Pseudomonadati; Planctomycetota. The record is from RNAcentral.